AUGAUGAUACUUGACCCAACGGAGACAGAUCCGGCGGAUGGGAUAAAAAGGAAGCAUGAGGGGCUGGCAAAGCAAUUCCAUGUUUGGUUCUGUACCCUUUUCAACGAUAUAUUCAGUGCUGGGUUGGUUGAGAAGACCGAAUGGAAAUUCGUGUACCCUUUGGAGGAUAGUGGGGGCGUAUGUCGGGCACUACAUCCUUCAGUUCACUGGUCUGUACCUGAGAUCUACUGUAAGACCAGGAGCAGAUCGAGUACCUUAGGAAGAAGUAUUUAUCCUUUUAUCAAAAAAAACUGCAGGUCCCCUUGGGUGGCAGUGGGGUGCAAGGUGGCCUUCACAUUAGAAAUGGCGUUGAGAAUGCAAAUCCUACAGGGACAAGGCCUUGAGAUCGAGAAAUGUGCAGGCUAA
This 405-nucleotide ribosomal RNA is filed under the name Triticum aestivum (bread wheat). RNAcentral's name for it is "partial small subunit ribosomal RNA". Lineage: Eukaryota; Viridiplantae; Streptophyta; Magnoliopsida; Poales; Poaceae. The record is from RNAcentral.